UCUUGAGGUAUACCAGAAGUGGGGGGGAAUUUGUGGUGUAGGCGGUGAAAAGCUUAGAUAUCCACAAAGAACUCCAAUUGCGAAGGCAGCUCACUGGGGUAUAACUGACGCUGAGGCACGAAGGUGUUGGGUAUCAAACAGGAUUAGAUGCCCUGGUAGUCCACACAGUAAACGAUGAAUACUCGCUGUUUGCGAUACACAGCAAGCGGCCAAGCGAAAGCAUUAAGUAUUCCACCUGGGGAGUACGCCGGCAACGGUGAAACUCAAAGGAAUUGACGGGGGCCCGCACAAGCGGAGGAACAUGUGGUUUAAUUCGAUGAUACGCGAGGAACCUUACCUGGGCUUAAAUUGCAACUGAAUAUGGUGGAAACAUCAUAGUCUUCGGACAGUUGUGAAGGUGCUGCAUGGUUGUCGUCAGCUCGUGCCGUGAGGUGUCGGCUUAAGUGCCAUAACGAGCGCAACCCUCAUUAUUAGUUACUAACAGGUCAUGCUGAGGACUCUAAUAAGACUGCCGUCGUAAGAUGCGAGGAAGGUGGGGAUGACGUCAAAUCAGCACGGCCCUUACGUCCAGGGCCACACACGUGUUACAAUGGAUGGUACAGAGGGUAGCUACCAGGCGACUGGAUGCCAAUCUCAUAAAACCAUUCUCAGUUCGGAUCGAAGUCUGCAACUCGACUUCGUGAAGCUGGAUUCGCUAGUAAUCGCGCAUCAGCCACGGCGCGGUGAAUACGUUCCCGGGCCUUGUACACACCGCCCGUCAAG
This 762-nucleotide ribosomal RNA is filed under the name uncultured bacterium. RNAcentral's name for it is "bacterial SSU rRNA". It matches the Rfam family "Bacterial small subunit ribosomal RNA", at positions 640 to 1401 of the family's 1533-position model. The record is from RNAcentral.